GACGAACGCUGGCGGCGUGCCUAAUACAUGCAAGUCGAACGCUUCUUUCCUCCCGAGUGCUUGCACUCAAUUGGAAAGAGGAGUGGCGGACGGGUGAGCAACACGUGGGUAACCUACCCAUCAGAGGGGGAUAACACUUGGAAACAGGUGCUAAUACCGCAUAACAGUUUAUGCCGCAUGGCAUAAGAGUGAAAGGCGCUUUCGGGUGUCGCUGAUGGAUGGACCCGCGGUGCAUUAGCUAGUUGGUGAGGUAACGGCUCACCAAGGCCACGAUGCAUAGCCGACCUGAGAGGGUGAUCGGCCACACUGGGACUGAGACACGGCCCAGACUCCUACGGGAGGCAGCAGUAGGGAAUCUUCGGCAAUGGACGAAAGUCUGACCGAGCAACGCCGCGUGAGUGAAGAAGGUUUUCGGAUCGUAAAACUCUGUUGUUAGAGAAGAACAAGGACGUUAGUAACUGAACGCCCCCUGACGGUAUCUAACCAGAAAGCCACGGCUAACUACGUG
Molecule: ribosomal RNA, 508 nt
Filed under: uncultured bacterium
Lineage: Bacteria
Description: partial 16S ribosomal RNA
Rfam family: Bacterial small subunit ribosomal RNA
Source: RNAcentral